UACGAAGGGGGCUAGCGUUGUUCGGAAUUACUGGGCGUAAAGCGCACGUAGGCGGAUCGAUCAGUCAGGGGUGAAAUCCCAGGGCUCAACCCUGGAACUGCCUUUGAUACUGUCGAUCUGGAGUAUGGAAGAGGUGAGUGGAAUUCCGAGUGUAGAGGUGAAAUUCGUAGAUAUUCGGAGGAACACCAGUGGCGAAGGCGGCUGCCUGGGCCUGGCCUGACGCUGAGGCGCGAAAGCGUGGGGAGCGAUCCGG
This 253-nucleotide ribosomal RNA is filed under the name uncultured bacterium. RNAcentral describes it as "partial 16S ribosomal RNA". It matches the Rfam family "Bacterial small subunit ribosomal RNA", at positions 524 to 776 of the family's 1533-position model. The record is from RNAcentral.